GAUGAACGCUGGCGGCGUGCCUAAUACAUGCAAGUCGAGCGAACGGACGAGAAGCUUGCUUCUCUGAUGUUAGCGGCGGACGGGUGAGUAACACGUGGAUAACCUACCUAUAAGACUGGGAUAACUUCGGGAAACCGGAGCUAAUACCGGAUAAUAUUUUGAACCGCAUGGUUCAAAAGUGAAAGACGGUCCUGCUGUCACUUAUAGAUGGAUCCGCGCUGCAUUAGCUAGUUGGUAAGGUAACGGCUUACCAAGGCAACGAUGCAUAGCCGACCUGAGAGGGUGAUCGGCCACACGGGAACUGAGACACGGUCCAGACUCCUACGGGAGGCAGCAGUAGGGAAUCUUCCGCAAUGGGCGAAAGCCUGACGGAGCAACGCCGCGUGAGUGAUGAAGGUCUUCGGAUCGUAAAACUCUGUUAUUAGGGAAGAACAUAUGUGUAAGUAACUGUGCACAUCUUGACGGUACCUAAUCAGAAAGCCACGGCUAACUACGUG
This 497-nucleotide ribosomal RNA is filed under the name uncultured bacterium. RNAcentral's name for it is "partial 16S ribosomal RNA". It matches the Rfam family "Bacterial small subunit ribosomal RNA", at positions 28 to 507 of the family's 1533-position model. The record is from RNAcentral.